Suricata suricatta (meerkat) is the source of this 107-nucleotide small nuclear RNA. The record is from Ensembl. Lineage: Eukaryota; Metazoa; Chordata; Mammalia; Carnivora; Herpestidae.
GUGCUCACUUCAGCAGCACAUAUACUAAAAUUAGAGUGAUACAGAGAAGAUAAGCAUAGCCCAUGCACAAGGAGGACAGGCAAAUUCGUGUAGUGUUGCAUAUUUUU